CACCUAUUUGGGAAACCUCAGCUAAGCUAAGAGGCUAAGUGGGCUCUGAUGUCGACUUCCUGUUUCUUGGACCGGACGUGGGACCACGAUGGAGCCUGGUUUUAAAUUAGCUUAUCUUCAGAAAGAAGGAGCCAAAUCCUGAUCUCUUCCAGGAGAAGACAGAGCAUCAAUUGACGACAACCUUUAAUUACAACCAGUUUCUCCUCCAACAGUCAUGCACCUCCCAUGGCACGCAGUGGUGCUGGAGCAUUAUAUAUGCUCCAGCACACAUCUGCAAGGCAAGGUGAUGCCUGCGCUACCAAGUCCAGCACGCCUAAGCCGCCUGAGGAAGUGGCGGCGCUGGUUGGCUUUCCUGACCAGACUGAAAGUGAUGUUGCUCCAGCUGGAUUCUUCACUCAGGUGGCCGCCAAGGUAUCUAUAGCUGGAGACCACACAUCUUCAGAUGUGCAGCAGGAGAUCUUCCACCUCCUCACUGUUGCUGGACUCAUUGCUGUUGCUGAUGCAUCGGAGCACUGUCGCACGCAAACUGGACAACAUGUGACUGAAACAUCUGUCAGGAUGACUGAACGUCAAUAGAGUGGUCCAGCAGUGAGAGAGGAAGUGGAGGGGAAAGGAGGAGGGGAUGCAGAUCCUGUCAGCAGUGAUGGCUCAGACAGUCAGAAUCUCAUCAAGAUGUGAUGAGUAUCACUCAACAGCCAGCGUUUGUGUGUGACAAGGAUGCGGGACACACACAAACUUCCUAUAAUACAUGAAUAGGUUGUCAUUUUUCCACCUGAUGGAUGUUUUUAUCCCCUGACAAUAUCAUUGCUGCAUGUAUCAAGGUAGCGCACAACAACUGCCAGAGAUGGUGUCGUAUACUGAUGGCAUAUGGCAACAACAUAUGGGUGAUGGGAAGCUGCCUAACAUAUGACAGAACCUCCCACGGUGCUUUAGGGGCAGCUUUUGAAAGGCUUUUAGGAAUGUGCACCUUUCUACAUCUUUUACAGGCAGAGUUAGACAGACAUUCACGCAGCUAAAUUAAACAAGUACAGCCGUCGCUUACUCCCAGAGCAAAUUUUGCAGGAAUGACAUAUAGACGUAAUUAUUUUUUGGUUUAUUAAAAUGUGAUUUCAGCACUCCAGUUCAUGAGGUCUCAAUAUAGAAAAUAGCUGUGGUGAAGGCUCCAUGUUAUUAUCAGAGAAGUUUGAUAAACUUGUUUCAUUUGAACUCGAUAUCCCACAUGAGAUUUCUUUCAAUUUUCACCACCGUGGAACUUUCAGGCAAGAGACUCCAAAAUCCUUGCCUAAGCUGUCCAUGCAAGCAAACAACAGUUUCUAAUCAGGUCUUCUCGCCAAAACAAACUGGAAAUAUCUGCUCACAGUCCAUAAUUUUUGGAUAGUCUUACAGAUUUAGAAACUGCUGACUGAAAAAAAACAUCACUAAGGCGUAAAAACGAGGGAAAACCAAGUGGCAUCCAACCCAGAUUAAAGUGUCUGAAACCGGGGCUCAUUGUGCUUUUCUUGUAAUCCCAGCAAAUGUUCAUUUGUUUGGGGACAUGGCAGAAGAGUUGAAGGCAAACCCAAUCCAUGAAUUAUAAAAUUCCUGCAGCACAGUGAGACUGCAGAAACAUGCUUCAGGAUGAUACCGAGGUCGAACAUCUUUAUAGGACUGAUCCAUCUGCUUGCUGCAUUAUUUAGGACUAGUUAACCCUUUAAAGCAUAUCUGACACUAUCGACCGUAUAAUGGCUCCAAUAUUCCAAGUGCUCUUCCUUUUUAACUAGAAAUGCUAAAACAGACAAAUGCCUCAAUUUAUAUGGUUGUAUCGUCCUACUACCCCAAGUCCUCGUCUGCAUGUAUUACUAUCCACUCACAAGUGUUCACUGGAAAUUGCCGCACUUCUUUUUCAGUUAUUUAUGAAAAAUUUGCCUUUAAAUUAAAUAAUUUAAAGACGC
RNAcentral lists this long non-coding RNA (1931 nucleotides) under Takifugu rubripes (torafugu). RNAcentral describes it as "lncRNA (ENSTRUG00000032917.1)". The record is from RNAcentral. Lineage: Eukaryota; Metazoa; Chordata; Actinopteri; Tetraodontiformes; Tetraodontidae.